Molecule: non-coding RNA, 102 nt
Filed under: Bacillus sp. (in: firmicutes)
Lineage: Bacteria; Bacillati; Bacillota; Bacilli; Caryophanales; Bacillaceae
Description: Bacillus sp. TPP sequence
Rfam family: TPP riboswitch aptamer (THI element)
About the family: Vitamin B(1) in its active form thiamin pyrophosphate (TPP) is an essential coenzyme that is synthesised by coupling of pyrimidine and thiazole moieties in bacteria. The previously detected thiamin-regulatory element, thi box was extended, resulting in a new, highly conserved RNA secondary structure, the THI element, which is widely distributed in eubacteria and also occurs in some archaea. Analysis of operon structures identified a large number of new candidate thiamin-regulated genes, mostly transporters, in various prokaryotic organisms.
Source: RNAcentral
AUUUUGCACUAGGGGAGCUUUUAGGCUGAGAAGAACAAUCCGUUCUGACUCUUAUCACCCGAUCUGGAUAAUACCAGCGUGGGGAAGUGCAGGUGAACGGCU